CAGACUGGGAAAAGAUAUUUAUAAUCUAGUAGAGGGCUUGGUCCAGAAUAUAUAAAGAACUCUUAAAACCCAGCAAUAAUAACUCAAUUGAAAAAUGAGCAAAAGAUCUGAAUAGACACUUCACCAUAGGAGACAUAUAAAUGGCAAGUAAGCAAUAAAAAGAUGCUUAACAGUAUUUGUUAUUGGAAAGUGCAAAUAAAUGCCACAAUGAGAUAUCACUCACUAUACAUACAUUAGACUGGCUAAAAUGGAAAAAAACAAAAAAAGACAACAAUUGUUGACAAGGAUAUGGGACAAGAGGAACUUUCUGGUGGGUAUGCAAAAUGGUAUAGCCACUUUGGAAUAGAAUUUGGCAGUUACCUAUAAAAUUAAACAUAGACUUAGCACACUACCCAGCAAUCACACUUCUCAGUAUUUACCUAAGUGAAUUUAAAACAUAUGUCAACAAAAUGUCUAAACGAGUUUGAGUGGAGCAAGCUGAGUGGUUGUGUGAUCCCAUCCUGGAGACUGGUAGCACUUGCAGCAUGGCUGACCAACUGACUGAAGAGCAGAUCGCAGAAUUCAAAGAAGCUUUUUCACUAUUUGACAAGGAUGGUGAUGGAACUAUAACAACAAAGGAAUUGGUAACUGUACUGAGGUCUCUUGGGCAGAAUCUCACAGAAGCAGAGUUACAGGACAUGAUUCAUGAAGUAGAUGUUGAUAGUAAUGGCGAAACUGACUUCCUGGAAUUUCUGACAAUGAUGGCAAGAAAAAUGAAAGACACAGACAGUGAAGAAGAAAUUAGAGAAGCAUUCCAUGUGUUUGAAAAGGAUGACAAUAGCUAUAUUAGUGCAGCAGAGCUUCACCAUGUGAUGACAAACCUUGGAGAGAAGUUAACAGAUGAAGAGGUUGAUGAAAUGAUCAAGGAAGCAGAUAGUGAUGGUGAUGGUCAAGUAGACCAUGAAGAGCUUGUAAAAAUGAUGACAGCAAAAUUAAGACAUUGUACAGAAUGUAACAGACAUUUAACUCUGGAUAUGGAUUUGCCUUUCCUCCAUGCAGUGUUUCUGCCAAAACUACCAGGCAUGGACUUACAGACUACGCCUGGAUUUACAGAAUGCCUUAUUCACCAUCACAAUUUCCACACAGCACUGCUUCUGAUCACACAAUUCAUUUUACAGCAAAAGACGUACGACAAUGGGCCCAUAUGCAUGGAAUUUACUGGCCUUAAGCGUGUCUCCCACCAUCCUGAAGCAACUGUCUUGCCAGACGGUAGAAUGGUCUUUUGA
Sus scrofa (pig) is the source of this 1265-nucleotide non-coding RNA. Lineage: Eukaryota; Metazoa; Chordata; Mammalia; Artiodactyla; Suidae. The record is from RefSeq and is a predicted model, not a curated record.